Molecule: non-coding RNA, 90 nt
Filed under: human gut metagenome
Description: SAM riboswitch (S box leader)
Rfam family: SAM riboswitch aptamer (S box leader)
About the family: The SAM riboswitch is found upstream of a number of genes which code for proteins involved in methionine or cysteine biosynthesis in Gram-positive bacteria.
Source: RNAcentral
CUUAUCAAGAGUGGUGGAGGGAACGGCCCUGUGAAGCCCGGCAACCUGCGUCUGCAAGGUGCCAAAUCCGGCGGUGAAACGAAAGAUGAG